GAACUCUACUGUGAAAAAUGAUUGGCAGGUGUCAGACCGGCAUCAUGGUCUGAAGUCACUCUCCACCUACUCCUUCUUCCUCCCUUUAUCUUUCAUAGGCAUCACAUUCCAACAAUCGGUUGCAUUUCUAAUUCUACCCUGGCAUCUGCUUCUUAGGGGACCCAAGAUGACAAAAUGUCCUUGCCUACAAGUCCAGGUGGCUUGCUGCGGCGCUGCAGAGGGAAAACCAGAAUGGAUACUCUCUCGGGGAAGCAGAUCUGAGAAAAGACAACCUAGAAGGGGCUCGUGCACAUGUUGCAUUUUCUUCUCUGGAGUUUGUCAACCAAAUACAUCGCUUCACUCCCGUAAGAAAUGGACAAAGGUAAGAAGCUAAGAUUUUUUUUUUUUUAACUCUAAUUCUUAAGAUAACAGUAUUCAAAAUUCUGAAGUAGAUAUUUCUUAACUAGUUAAAAAAUGCUUGUAAGAACUAUUAGAAUUUGAUAUAUGUAACAUCGUGCCUAUAAAGUGUGCAAUUUGUUUUAUUCUAUGUACAUAUCUGGGAAAUCAUCAGCACAAUCAAGAUAAUGAACUAUCACAGCCCCCAAAUUGUCCCCUCUGUGCCCAGACAGCUGCUGAUCUGUGUUCUGUCCUAAGAUUAGUCAGAAUUUCUAGAAUUGUACGUAAAGGGAAUUCUAGAGUAUGUGCAGUUUUUUGUUUUUGUUUGUUUUUCUACUUCCUCAAAGUAGAGUUUUGAGAUUCACUCACAUUGUUUUGUAAUCGGUAACCAACUCCUUUUUUUGGAGAAGCAGUUCGUUGUAAGAAUAUAUCAACAUUCGUCCAUUUAUUUUGGUUGGGUAUUUGGAUUAUUUCUAGGUUGUGGCAGUUCUAAGUAGAAGUGGUAUCAGCAGUCAUGAAGAAGUUUUUUGUGUGAGCAGAUGCUUUCAUUUCCCAGGAGUAAAUACCUUGAAGUGGAUGGUGGAUUGUGUAUCAUUUCUAUCUUUCAACUUUUAAGAAGCUGCAAAAAUAUUUUACUGUUUUUCUCAUUAUUCAUUCCACAGUUUGAGAGUUGCAUUUUCUUCAAAAUCUCGAUAAACUUGGUAUGAUGAAGCCUUUCAAGUAUUCAUCUCUUUAACACGUGCAUGUCCUUUUCCCAUAGUUUGAAUUCACAUUUUCUUAAUUACUAAUGAUUUUGAGUAUUUUUUUACUUACAUAUUUGUGAUUCUCUAUCUACUUUGGUGUAUGAAGUGUUUAAGUAUUUGGCCCAGUAUUCUGAAUUCUUAGUCUAUAUAGAAAUUCUUUAUCUGAUACAGAACUUGGAAAUGUUUUCUACAGUCUGUAUGUUGUUUUUCAUUCUUACUGAAGUGUGUUUUAAAGAGUGGGAGUUGUUAAUUUUGAUGAAGUUCGAUUUAUAAACUUAGCUAAUUUUGCUUUUCUGAUUUUUUUUUUCCCCUAUUUAUGGAUCGUAGUUUGCUGUAUCUUUGUAUCCCUAGGGAUUUUGUAAUAGGAUGCCUUUCUGGAUUUUACUUUCUUGGUGCUGGAUACUUCAGUUUUCCUAUCAAUAUUUUGGUGCUCUGUUAGGAGAUGCACUUAAGUUAAUGGGAAGACUUUUAAAUCUUUGGGGUCUGUCUUCUAAAUUUUGUUAGGUGCGCAUAGGACAGUGGUUUAUUUAGCUAAAAUUUUACCCUGUUCUGAGGCAAAACUACUGAAUCCCAUAUCUAUGCCUCUUGAAUUAAGAGUAGGAGUUUUCUUUAAUACUUUUAGGUAGUUCUUUCUGGAUGUCAGGUAACUUCCUUACAUGUAUGUCUGAUGAUUCUCUAUAUGUUUCUAGAAUACUCCUUGGCAAAUCUCCCCUUUUUGGUAGGCUACCCAAUAAAUUCUAGCUGCCUUGGCUUCUCCAGACUUCCAGGUCCAUUUGCUCAACUGGAGAAGAUGAACGAGUUCCGCCUUUUCUCUGUACUAUGUUUCUUCUUCCUAUACUAGGACUAUGAUCUGCUCUCUGGGCAGUAAACUGGGACAAGAAAAGGGAUUAUUUCUUUUGUUUACCCUUCAUUGUGGGGUUGCUAAUACCUUAAUCUUGAAUUGUUACUUAGUAUUUCCUUUUUAAUUUUUUUUCCCAAGCAAAGGAUGGCUUUGAUAACCUUUACUCUUUCAUUCCCAAAGCGAAUGACCUAUUGACUUUCUAAUGCUAAAAAUAAGAGGAAUUCGAGGCACAUAAAUAUUACAUAUGAUUUCAGAGUUUAGUUAUGUGCUAUAUUAUUUAACUGACUUACAACUUUGACAAAAAUAUACAAUGAUGAUAGGUCUUCUAUAUUAAAAAAAAAGUGGCUGUUGUAGUAAUUUCACUUAAGUAUUAGGGGUUUUGACCUUAUUCACAAAAUCUCCAAGUCUCUAUUUUAUUUAUAUAUAUACUAUAUAUAUAUAUAGUUAUAUAUAGUUAUAUAUAUAUAAAUUAUGAAAAAGUAAUGAAUUAGAACUUGAUUAUACAUCAUGCCUUUUCAGGAAUAUAAUUCUUCAUAAA
Molecule: long non-coding RNA, 2497 nt
Organism: Ursus thibetanus thibetanus
Lineage: Eukaryota; Metazoa; Chordata; Mammalia; Carnivora; Ursidae
Source: Ensembl